This 253-nucleotide ribosomal RNA is filed under the name uncultured bacterium. RNAcentral describes it as "partial 16S ribosomal RNA". It matches the Rfam family "Bacterial small subunit ribosomal RNA", at positions 524 to 776 of the family's 1533-position model. The record is from RNAcentral.
UACGGAGGGUGCAAGCGUUAUCCGGAUUCACUGGGUUUAAAGGGUGCGUAGGUGGGUAGGUAAGUCAGUGGUGAAAUCUCCAAGCUCAACUUGGAAACUGCCGUUGAUACUAUUUAUCUUGAAUAUAGUGGAGGUGAGCGGAAUAUGUCAUGUAGCGGUGAAAUGCUUAGAUAUGACAUAGAACAUCGAUUGCGAAGGCAGCUCGCUACACUAUUAUUGACACUGAGGCACGAAAGCGUGGGGAGCAAACAGG